GGACGGGUGAGUAACACGUAGGCAACCUGCCCGUAAGCUCGGGAUAACAUGGGGAAACUCAUGCUAAUACCGGAUAGGGUCUUCUCUCGCAUGAGAGGAGACGGAAAGGUGGCGCAAGCUACCACUUACGGAUGGGCCUGCGGCGCAUUAGCUAGUUGGUGGGGUAACGGCCUACCAAGGCGACGAUGCGUAGCCGACCUGAGAGGGUGACCGGCCACACUGGGACUGAGACACGGCCCAGACUCCUACGGGAGCGC
This 257-nucleotide ribosomal RNA is filed under the name Brevibacillus borstelensis. RNAcentral describes it as "partial 16S ribosomal RNA". It matches the Rfam family "Bacterial small subunit ribosomal RNA", at positions 100 to 347 of the family's 1533-position model. Lineage: Bacteria; Bacillati; Bacillota; Bacilli; Caryophanales; Paenibacillaceae. The record is from RNAcentral.